Molecule: non-coding RNA, 30 nt
Filed under: Mus musculus (house mouse)
Lineage: Eukaryota; Metazoa; Chordata; Mammalia; Rodentia; Muridae
Source: RNAcentral
UAAUGAUUUUCAGACUAGGCAAUUGGAGUC